RNAcentral lists this long non-coding RNA (387 nucleotides) under Physcomitrium patens. RNAcentral describes it as "long non-coding RNA (PPAT_LNC010957)". The record is from RNAcentral. Lineage: Eukaryota; Viridiplantae; Streptophyta; Bryopsida; Funariales; Funariaceae.
AGGAUCAGGAAUAAAGAUAUUGAAGAUUAUGAUAAUGAUGAUGAUGAAGAGUAUCAACCUUUAAGUGAAAAAAGAUAAGCUUUAAGAAAGAAGAAUCUUAAAAGAGAGCUUAAAGUACAAAAAGUUGAAUCUUCUUCAAAUGAAAGAAGAUAUCUCUUGAGAAAAAGAAGAUCUUGUGGCGAAUGGUAGAAGAAUUACAUUUUUUUUUAAGUAAGUGAAGAACAUACUAACGUUGCUUUUCUUGUUGAUCUAUUGUCUUUGUGUGAUGCUAUAAAGUUUUAAGAAGCAAUAAAGUGAGAAAAGGCUAUAAAAAAAAACUACCAAUCUCUUAUGAACAAUGGUAUAUGGAAAAUGAUACCUUUUCUAUUAAAUCCAUCUAAUAUUGGU